UUCAGGUUCAAGGAUGGAAGUUUCUCGACGCCAGGUGGUUGCAGGAUGGUUUUCUGUCCGUCCGUUUUAUCGUCGGUUCGGGUAUUUCCGGUUUCCGGCAACCUAUGAGUUGAAAUGUACCGCGGGAUUAUUCCUAACUAGGCCUGAGCUCAAUCCUAUCAUUCUCGCGCACGCUUGGAACAAUUUCAUCCAGCGGACUGGCUUCGAGCAACUAACGCAAGGGCUGGUUCCGUUCGUCCUGUCGUUCGGGUAAGGAGUACACUAUGUCGAAAACCUUAAUACCUGUGCACCACAGGACUGAUGGUGCGAAUUUGCCAGAGUAGUCCCACGAUGGAUGGAGCUGGCGAUGGCGUGGCUCAGCGUUGGCUGUUUUAGUUUUAUUAUUCUGUUUUACUUAAUUUGAUGUAUUACUUUAUUUAUUUUUAAGUUUUAUUUUAAGUUUAGUUUUAAAUUUGUAAUUUAUUAAAUGAAUAA
Long non-coding RNA from Calliphora vicina (urban bluebottle blowfly), 474 nucleotides. RefSeq lists it as uncharacterized. The transcript is spliced from 3 exons. NCBI's taxonomy places the organism in Eukaryota, Metazoa, Arthropoda, Insecta, Diptera, Calliphoridae. The record is from RefSeq and is a predicted model, not a curated record.